Molecule: unclassified non-coding RNA, 144 nt
Filed under: uncultured Devriesia
Lineage: Eukaryota; Fungi; Ascomycota; Dothideomycetes; Mycosphaerellales; Teratosphaeriaceae
Description: sequence contains ITS1
Source: RNAcentral
CCAGAGAUGGCGGGCCCCCGCGCCCCCGUCCCCAACCCUUUGUUGACCAAACCACUUUUGCCUCGGGGGUAGAGCGGCCUCCGCCGCCCCCGGUGGACCACUUAACACUGUCUCUGUACGUCGGAGUCUUUGAUGAAUAAAUGA